Molecule: ribosomal RNA, 497 nt
Filed under: uncultured bacterium
Lineage: Bacteria
Description: partial 16S ribosomal RNA
Rfam family: Bacterial small subunit ribosomal RNA
Source: RNAcentral
GACGAACGCUGGCGGCGUGCCUAAUACAUGCAAGUUGAGCGAUGAAGAUUGGUGCUUGCACCAAUUUGAAGAGCAGCGAACGGGUGAGUAACGCGUGGGGAAUCUGCCUUUGAGCGGGGGACAACAUUUGGAAACGAAUGCUAAUACCGCAUAACAACUUUAAACAUAAGUUUUAAGUUUGAAAGAUGCAAUUGCAUCACUCAAAGAUGAUCCCGCGUUGUAUUAGCUAGUUGGUGAGGUAAAGGCUCACCAAGGCGAUGAUACAUAGCCGACCUGAGAGGGUGAGCGGCCACAUUGGGACUGAGACACGGCCCAAACUCAUACGGGAGGCAGCAGUAGGGAAUCUUCGGCAAGGGGCGAAAGUCUGACCGAGCAACGCCGCGUGAGUGAAGAAGGUUUUCGGAUCGUAAAACUCUGUUGGUAGAGAAGAACGUUGGUGAGAGUGGAAAGCUCAUCAAGUGACGGUAACUACCCAGAAAGGGACGGCUAACUACGUG